RNAcentral lists this long non-coding RNA (1223 nucleotides) under Homo sapiens (human). RNAcentral describes it as "non-protein coding lnc-KRBA1-3:1". The record is from RNAcentral. Lineage: Eukaryota; Metazoa; Chordata; Mammalia; Primates; Hominidae.
UAAUCCAAAUAAUAAAUUAUUGCCCCAAGAAUAAAACACUCUUUUCGUAUGGGAGCUGUUUUCACCCUAUUAAAUCUUGCAACUGCACACUGGUCUGCCUGGAACCAGCUUCUGUUUUCACAAUUUUCCUGGGGAAGCCGAGGGUUGACUAGAGGCAGAAAGCUGUCGUCCCGAACUCCCGCAUUGCCAAAGGGAUCUAAGGAAGCUCUACACUGUGUCCUUAGGCACCUAGGCUAUGAACCCAGGGAGUCUUGUCCCAAUUUAGGCAUACAGCUCUUGACAUGGGCAGUUAUGUGGGACCCAUUCCCCACCACCCUUUCCAGGGCCUUAGAACUGACAACCCAGUACUUUAACAACUGGAACUGGAUCUACAACAACAUAAUAGAUCAGGAUGAAAAUGAAUUGAGUAAAUUAAAGGGAGGCGCAUAUUCCUAUAGUGGCAAAUGGGGGCAACGAGCCAAUGUCCUUCCACUGUGUUUCCAAAAUCCAUCUACAAAGACAGAGAGGAGAAUAAGCAAUAGGACCAUAGAGGACACUGCCGCCAAAACUGCAGCCCGAGAGUUUGGCGAUCUCUGGUAUCUCAGUCAGGUCGAGGAUAAGAUGACAACACAGGAAAGAGAACAAUUCCCUACAGGCCAGCAGGCAGUUCCCAGUGUAGACCCUCACUGGGAUGCAGAAUCAGAACACGGAGAUUGGUGCCACAGACAUUUGCUAACUUGCAUGAGAAACCUAAAGAGGUGGCAGUCUUACACUGCUGGGAUCAUCAGAAAGGAAAGGAAAGGGAAAUAGAAGGGAACCACCAAGCGGAUAUUGAAACUAAAAGAGCUGCAAGGUGGGACCUUCCAUUAGAAAUGCUUAUAGAAGGACCCCUACUAUGGGGUAAUCCCCUCCAGGAAACCAAGCCCCAGUACUCAGCAGAAGAAACAGAAUGGGGAACCUCACGAGGACAAAGUUUCCUCCCCUCACGAUGGCUACCCACCGAAGAAGGAAAAAUACUUUUGCCUGCAGCUAACCAAUGGAAAUUACUUAAAACCCUUCACCAGACCUUUCACUUAGGCAUUGAACCCAUUGGAUGGCCAAAUCAUGAUUUACUGGACCAGGACUUUUCAAAACUGUCAAGCAGAUAGUCAGGGCCUGUGAAGUGUGCCAAAGAAAUAAUCCCCUGCACUUCAGGCCAUACAUUUCAAUCCCUGUAUCUUUAACUUCCUUGUUAGGUUUGUCUA